RNAcentral lists this ribosomal RNA (585 nucleotides) under uncultured bacterium. Its description in RNAcentral is "partial 16S ribosomal RNA". It matches the Rfam family "Bacterial small subunit ribosomal RNA", at positions 355 to 1375 of the family's 1533-position model. The record is from RNAcentral.
UGGGGAAUUUUGGACAAUGGGCGAAAGCCUGAUCCAGCAAUGCCGCGUGUGUGAAGAAGGCCUUCGGGUUGUAAAGCACUUUUGUCCGGAAAGAAAUCCUUGGCUCUAAUACAGUCGGGGGAUGACGGUACCGGAAGAAUAAGCACCGGCUAACUACGUGCCAGCAGCCGCGGUAAUACGUAGGGUGCAAGCGUUAAUCGGAAUUACUGGGCGUAAAGCGUGCGCAGGCGGUUUGCUAAGACCGAUGUGAAAUCCCCGGGCUCAACCUGGGAACUGCAUUGGUGACUGGCAGGCUAGAGUAUGGCAGAGGGGGUAGAAUUCCACGUGUAGCAGUGAAAUGCGUAGAGAUGUGGAGGAAUACCGAUGGCGAAGGCAGCCCCCUGGGCCAAUACUGACGCUCAUGCACGAAAAGCGUGGGGAGCAAACAGGAUUAGAUACCCUGGUAGUCCACGCCCUAAACGAUGUCAACUAGUUGUUGGGGAUUCAUUUCCUUAGUAACGUAGCUAACGCGUGAAGUUGACCGCCUGGGGAGUACGGUCGCAAGAUUAAAACUCAAAUGAAUUGACGGGGUCAUAGCUGUUUCCU